AACCUUAUGGACCUGCGGGCGUAUACCUGCGGAGGGAUCAUUACAGAGUUGCAAGACUCCCUAAACCAUUGUGAACCUACCUUCUACCGUUGCUUCGGCGGGCGGGCCCAGCGCCCCCCCGGCCCCCCGCGGGCGCCCGCCGGAGGAUACCCAAACUCUUGACAUUAGUGGCCUCUCUGAGUAUUCUUUACUGAAUAAGUCAAAACUUUCAACAAUGGAUCUCAGAUCGGAAGAGCACAC
RNAcentral lists this unclassified non-coding RNA (240 nucleotides) under soil metagenome. RNAcentral's name for it is "partial contains 5.8S ribosomal RNA, internal transcribed spacer 2, and large subunit ribosomal RNA". The record is from RNAcentral.